RNAcentral lists this ribosomal RNA (451 nucleotides) under uncultured bacterium. RNAcentral's name for it is "partial 16S ribosomal RNA". It matches the Rfam family "Bacterial small subunit ribosomal RNA", at positions 28 to 507 of the family's 1533-position model. The record is from RNAcentral.
GAUGAACGCUGGCGGCGUGCCUAACACAUGCAAGUCGAGCGGCAGCGAGGGGUGCUUGCACCCUGUCGGCGAGCGGCGGACGGCUGAGUAACGCGUGGGAACGUGCCCCAAAGUGAGGAAUAACUGCCCGAAAGGGUAGCUAAUACCGCAUAUUAUCUUCGGAUCAAAGGAUUUAUCCGCGUUGGGAGCGGCUCGCGUCGGAUUAGGUAGUUGGUGAGGUAAUGGCUCACCAAGCCGACGACCCGUAGCUGGUCUGAGAGGAUGACCAGCCAGACUGGAACUGAGACACGGUCCAGACUCCUACGGGAGGCAGCAGUGAGGAAUCUUCCACAAUGGGCGAAAGCCUGAUGGAGCAACGCCGCGUGCAGGACGAAGGCCUUCGGGUUGUAAACUGCUUUUAUAAGUGAGGAAUAUGACGGUAACUUAUGAAUAAGGAUCGGCUAACUACGUG